GUGAGGAAUAUUGGUCAAUGGGCGCUAGCCUGAACCAGCCAAGUAGCGUGCAGGAUGACGGCCCUAUGGGUUGUAAACUGCUUUUAUGCGGGGAUAAAGUCACCCACGUGUGGGUGUUUGCAGGUACCGCAUGAAUAAGGACCGGCUAAUUCCGUGCCAGCAGCCGCGGUAAUACGGAAGGUCCGGGCGUUAUCCGGAUUUAUUGGGUUUAAAGGGAGUGUAGGCGGCCUGUUAAGCGUGUUGUGAAAUGUAGAUGCUCAACAUCUGAACUGCAGCGCGAACUGGCUGGCUUGAGUACACGCAACGUGGGCGGAAUUCAUGGUGUAGCGGUGAAAUGCUUAGAUAUCAUGAGGAACUCCUAUUGCGAAGGCAGCUCACGGGAGUGUCACUGACGCUUAAGCUCGAAGGUGCGGGUAUCAAACAGGA
This 426-nucleotide ribosomal RNA is filed under the name uncultured bacterium. RNAcentral's name for it is "bacterial SSU rRNA". It matches the Rfam family "Bacterial small subunit ribosomal RNA", at positions 354 to 777 of the family's 1533-position model. The record is from RNAcentral.